GCCUGGUGCGGUGGUACAAGCCUGUAGUUCCAACUAUUCAGGAGGCUGAAGCAGGAGGAUUGCUUGAGCCCAAGAGUUCUGGGCUAUAAUGCACUAUGUUGAUCAGGUGUCUGCACUGUUUGCAUCAGUAUGGGACCUCCCAGGAGUGAGGACCACCAGGUUGCCUAAAGUGGGGUUAGUCAGCCCAGGUUGGAAACAGCAGGUCUAAACUCCAGUGCUGAUCAGUAGUGGGAUUGCACCUGUGAAUUGCCACUGCACUCCAGCUUGGGCAACAUAGCGAGACCCGCUCUCU
Molecule: signal recognition particle RNA, 292 nt
Filed under: Microcebus murinus (gray mouse lemur)
Lineage: Eukaryota; Metazoa; Chordata; Mammalia; Primates; Cheirogaleidae
Description: Metazoan signal recognition particle RNA (ENSMICG00000031909.2)
Rfam family: Metazoan signal recognition particle RNA
About the family: The signal recognition particle (SRP) is a universally conserved ribonucleoprotein.
Source: Rfam by way of RNAcentral